UAAAUUGCAUAAAAAUCUUAAAUAGAAUAAUAUAGGAAUGAAAUGAUUAAUUUCUAUUUUAAGUUUCAAUGUAAUUUCGAGAACAAGUUCAUCUUUAGUAUUAUUACAAAUGUAUAAAAUUCUCUUCUGCGCAUUGGAUGCUCUUGAUUUUAUGGUCCGACGAUGCCACAACUUUGCGAAUGUUGCAGCUUUUAGACACUUUGCGCGUUAUUAACGGUUUGCCGCGAAUCACGAACCGUGCUAUAUUUGUGUAUACAUCGAGCACCGCCUCUAACGGUAAACGGCCGAGUAAAUUCUAGGGUGGGCGAUAAUUAAACACUGUAGCUAUAUAUUGUCGGGUCAACCGCAUUUUCCUCCACCUUGUGCACGUUGGAUUAUCAACUAAUAACUAAGAUCCAUUGCGACAUCCUCUACCGCCUUCGGCCAUCUUUGAAAUUCAUACCUAGUCUAAUCGAAUUACGUUCUAUGCCAAUUUCCAUGUUAGAUUUCUAAUGAAUUUGUUUUUAGAAUGUCUACCAUCUUAAUUCUAUCGAUUAAUGAUUGCGAUAUAAAACGAGUGUGUAUAACGAGAUAUUGAUACCUAACAAGUCGAAAAACUUUUUCGAGAAUUUCGAGUAAUCGAUAUUUUCAACGAUAUUCGAUAUGCCAUUGAAUCUUCGCGGGGCAGAUCACAUGCUUAUCCGCGAAUACAUAUUGGCGCUCGCGUCGACGUAAUAAAUUAUUCAUACAGUUUGUGAAGCGAAUCUUUUAUUCGACUUUAAUUUAUAAUAUAACGGCUGAUUGUUGUACCGUUGCUCCAUCGAAUAUUAGUUAAAAGAAACGGCUGUUUAAAGGUGAGGAAAAUAUUACUAUUUUCUCUGGAUCAAUGCCAAGUGAUAAUACAAUUUUCUAUUGAAUCAGUCGAUUAUUUGAUAGUGAUAGGUUAUGGUACGAAUGAUGAUAAUUUGGAAGCAUAUUUAAUAUGUUUGGAAUAUUAUUCUUAAUUAAAAUCAUCCUGCGGAAAGAGUUCUCACGAAAAUAAAGAUAAACGGAUAUUCUGGACCAUCGUAUUAUCAAGAGAUAUAUUUGUGUCUUUACGAUUUCCGCGUUUCUGUUUAUGGAAGAAAGGUUUUAUCUGGUUGAAUCGUCCUCACGAUUCCGACGGACGCAGCGCGUGCGAUGCAUUUUUAAGAUUUUGGAAAGAUGUGUACAAAAACGAUCAAAAUAGUGAUUAAUUGAAAAAAAAGGAAUAUUGCUAAAAUUUUCUUUUAAGAAUGUAAUUUAUUUCGCGUUACAUUAUAAAAGGAUAUCAAAAGGAUUAAAAUCAGCAUAAAAAAGUAUAAAUAUUUUUAAUGAAAAAUGUACACAAUUUCUGAAUAUCCAACUAAAUAAACAAUUCACUUGAAAAGAAGAUCCAUUUUCCAUUUAAUCGGCUAAUUGAACUCGGAAAGGUUAAUACCCAACUAAAUAAACAUUAGAUACAAGCGAAUCGAGAUCAAGAAGCAAAAAAGAGGCGAAACUAAGCCGAGGAUACGGUGAAACUGCAUUUAGCCACGACAUUGAAAGAAGCGGGAGCAGCAGCAUUCCGCAGGGCAUAACUUAAGCGAGCCCUGAGCUCACGAAGGGAAGAGACGGGUCACGACGCCAUGUGUGCGGCCUACCAACCACACCCACCACCUAUUUAUUUAUGUCUACCUCACGGCUUUUUGUUCGUACCUUCGAGCUUUCAUUGCACCGUGAACAACGCGAACAAUCGAGGAGAGCCGCCUGCUCUACCGGAAAAAUCUUCUUCCCGAAGGAAUCGUCCUUCGAGCAAGCCCGUUUCGAAUUAUUUGUAAAACGGUGCUCGCAGAGAAUGCUCUUGCUAUCUUGGAAAAUAGAAUACUACGGGAUGAAUAAUGUGGACAUCAGGCGCGGGCAUAAAGUCGAUCUUCCGUUUCCGGCGAAGACACGGAGGCCGUUGCCAUGAUUUUUCCCUUCGAGAGCAUGGUUGGCCGGGGUCAGGUUCUAUCGAAGGCUCCGGUUGAACGUUUUCUAAGGCCGUGUGCAACGCCGUUCAUGACUUAACACGGUGCUUGGGUUCGGCUGUGCUUUGGCGGUUCAGGCCUACUCGGGACAAUGCCGCAUUGUUUCAUCGUCGUAGCUAUCUAGUCGGCACGGUAGCGGUCCCGAACGAUGUUUAUUAUCCUCUUGCGCAACAAAACAAAAUGCCCCCGGUGUUAUAUUAUCCUCUGGUUCGUGGUCGAAUCAGUUUCCCAUAUAAAAUCCACGUAAAACGCCGCUGACUCCAUCGUAACUUCGAUCCAGCCACGACGAGAGAGGUUGUUCCGCGCUAUCGGGGUGUCCUUGGUGCCAUCGAGCAUUUGCAGGAUUCCUUGGAAAAUCCGGAUAGAUGGAUAGAUGGUCCAUUGCAGAACUGGAAAAUUUAAAAUACAUAUUAGAGAAAUUAAAUAUUUAUACAAGAGAAUAUUAUUUGAAGAUAAUGGAUGCUAUAUGAAAAAGUUUUGAGAGGAUGAAAGGUUUGUCUUUUGAAAAUUAUUUAAUGUGGAGUUGAGGAAAAUAUUAAAAAAUUGAAUUAUUUCUAUAAAUAAUUCAAAAAGUAUCAACUAUUAAUUGCAAAAUCCAAAAUGUAUUUAUUUAGAAAAUCUGUUCUAAUAUUGAAAUGAUAUAAUAUCAUUGACUUUAACAGUAAAUUAUAUACAUAUAUAUAGAUAUUGUUGAUAUUUAUCUAUUUUUCUUUUAUCUUUCUUUUUUCAGUGAACAAUUAAACUAUCUUCGUGAUAAGAGAAUCAAAUAUAAUUUUCCACAACUGGUAAUUAUAGCAUUUGAGAAACUUUGUUUCACCUUCUGAAAGAAAAUCUUACAUGCAACUUUUCACAAUCCUUAACGCAAGAGAUUUCAAAGAUUACUUUCAAACUAAGAAACCUUGAAAAAUUUACAAAUUAACAAUACAAAGGAACAAUAUCCUUCCUGCAACAGUUUCAUCUUUCAUCGUAGUAGUCCUUGAAAAAAAAAUCCAACACAUAGAUCCGUAUACUAAUAAAUACAACUAUCAUCAAUGAUAAACAGUUAAUAAAUAAUUUCUAAUUAGCCUGUUGCGGUGUUUUCGCUAUUAGCAUACUAACUAAUUAAUUGAGGAAACUCUAUUAUAUCUCACGCAUCCUAACUGCAUCGUACAAGGCCUCCGUUGACCAGUCGAUGAAAAAAAAAAGGAAAAAUCAAGCUUGGAAGGAAAAACAAAAGGAGACAGAGACGAGAGCGGGUGGAAAAAGACAAACAAAGAAGAAAAGAAAAGAAAAAAAGAAUUAGAAAAGCUUUAGUGCCCAUUGUCCGAGCCGGUGAAAGCGAGCCGUUUCCAGAUUUGAUCUCCGAUUAGCCUUGGCACGAUUCGAUGGAAAUCAACGGAGAACGAGCGUGUGCGUUCUCUCUUUUUCCCGUUUUAUCUCGCCACCACGAAAAACAUCUAGCAAAACACGAUCGAGGAUGGUGUGGCAAAAGACGGUAGUAGUAGCGCGAUGGCCCCCGCGGUUUUCUUAUUUCCAUGAAAAUCGCCCGCUCCGAUCCCGACGACAAUGCCAUUCCGGUGUUUUAAAUGCAAAUCCGCGAAAGGAAAAACCGUAAGGGCAUUAUAAUUUAUAUUACUACAUGUGGCAGCGCCACUUCCGGCGAGAGAGCAUAGGCGCAGUUCCGGUCAGCUCGGCCUGGAGAUCCUACAUCGCCAGAUUAUGAGCCCAUGCCGCUUUUACAAUGGAUCGUCUGCCCUGACUCAUACGUCAGCGGGAAUAAUUUUCGUUGGCAUACGCGUGUGUAUGGAUCUAUACACGUAAGCAACGUCGUCGUAGAUGGGGCUGAAAGGAAAAGAAAAAAAAAAAAAAUAUCGUACGAUCUCUGACAGGGUAAAAGUUCCUGGCACGUGUUCGAUGUACUCGAUAGAUUCCUCGAGCCACGACCUCGACGAUCGAUGCCGAGAAUUUUCCGUGGCUUUGUUGUGGAAUCGUGGAUGGGUUAUAAUUAUCUCAAUUUUUGACUUUUUUGUGAUUUGUAAAUAUUCAAUUUUAUUCUUUUUUUGUAAAUACAGCAUGUUUAGUAAUAAGAU
This is a long non-coding RNA of Apis cerana (Asiatic honeybee), 4075 nucleotides long. RefSeq lists it as uncharacterized. NCBI's taxonomy places the organism in Eukaryota, Metazoa, Arthropoda, Insecta, Hymenoptera, Apidae. The record is from RefSeq and is a predicted model, not a curated record.